UUUAGUAUAUUUACUGAUUUAUCCUUGAUUUAUUCCAUCCAUUUUCUUUCUUUUUUUCUGCCAUUUUAUGUACAGAUUUUCGGCCAAAUUCCCUUAUUUUCGGUUAAUUAGUUUGUUUGGUUAAUUAGUUUGUUUCCUUAUGUUUCUUUAUUUUUAUGUUUUUAUUUUGGCCAAAUUCCCUUAUUUUUAUGGUUAAUUAGUUUUUCGGCCAAAUUCCCUUUAUUUUUUAAGCUUUUGUUUCUUUAUUUUUAUGUUUUUAUUUUGGGAAAUUUUAUAAUUUAUAUAAUUCGAUUUUUUUUUGUUCGAUUUUAUUUUUGAUUUAUUUGUUUUUAAAUUUAAUUAUUGAUUUGUUAACAAUAAUUUAGUGUUUCUUGUUAUAAUAAUUCUAGGUUUGUUUCUAGCUAUUUUUUUUUCUAAAUUAAUAUUAUUAUUUUUUUCAAAAAUUAUUUCUCCUAAAUUUUGUGUUUAUUUGUUUUUUAUUAAUUUGUUUCAACUAAUUUUGUGUUUCUCCUUAAAAUAAUACUAGAUUUGUUUUUGGAUAUUAUUUUUUAAUUUUUUCGAAAAUUAGAUUUUUUU
Molecule: long non-coding RNA, 576 nt
Filed under: Salvia miltiorrhiza (redroot sage)
Lineage: Eukaryota; Viridiplantae; Streptophyta; Magnoliopsida; Lamiales; Lamiaceae
Description: long non-coding RNA (SMIL_LNC011558)
Source: RNAcentral